GCCCAUCGUGAGGGUCCGAUAGAAAGACAUCACCACCAUUUUGAAAUCCAACUCGAGUUCCGGAAUCGUAGUUCCGGAUUCUGGAAUUCCGGAACCUGCGGACCUCGUGGUUCGUGGGUUUCGGUGGAGGAUCGCGGAGAUUCUAGACCGGUGGAGGAUGAACGCAGCGAUUGGACGGUAGGAUGUGGUGUCCGCAUCGAUACCUCACUGAAGGGGUACCGUCCCAAAUAUGCGCCCUAUAAAAAUAAUUAAUAAAUUUUAGUAAAAUAAAUAAACAAAUAUUGGUGUAUUUAUAUUAAAC
This 301-nucleotide long non-coding RNA is filed under the name Zostera marina. Its description in RNAcentral is "long non-coding RNA (ZMAR_LNC005434)". Lineage: Eukaryota; Viridiplantae; Streptophyta; Magnoliopsida; Alismatales; Zosteraceae. The record is from RNAcentral.